AUGUCGCCAUUUCUUUUCUUACUCUGUGCCGAAGGAUUUACGUCUCUGCUCAAAUUCUAUGGGGGCAUUCAUAUUGACAGGGGCAUCCGUGUAUCCUUUCGAGCACCGUGGUCAAUCGUGACAAAAGUGCCAUCUUUUUCUCGCCCAAUACACCGCAUGCAAGACGGCAAGCAGUCAAACUGGUUCUUGGUGUUCAUAUGGAGGCAUUUAGUGACAGAUAUUUGGGCUUACCCACAGCGGUCGGGAGAAUCACUAGUGAGACUUUUGACCAUAUUGGGGACAGAUCCAGGAGCAAAAUGA
This 300-nucleotide ribosomal RNA is filed under the name Triticum aestivum (bread wheat). RNAcentral's name for it is "partial small subunit ribosomal RNA". Lineage: Eukaryota; Viridiplantae; Streptophyta; Magnoliopsida; Poales; Poaceae. The record is from RNAcentral.